CAGAAAAGAAAGAAAACACUUUAUUUGUAAAGAGAAAAUGGAACUUAGUACAUAUGCCAAAAUAAAUCUGUAACGCAGGCCACUUCUCUGGGCCCCAUCUUGAGUAGGUUAAAGGGUCACCUUAGAGACUAGAAACACAAUUAAGAGGCACAAAUCCACACAGAAAAUAUGCAUAUUUUGUCUCCUUUCCCCCCAAAACAAGCUGCAUAUACUUGUGUAAACUUGUUGAUUUGUAAAACAUGUCUAGUACUGCAGACAAAUGUGUGGGAUGAAAGGAAAUAAAAGCCAUGAAAACAGGGCCAGGUGGAAUAAGUUCUCCUAGCUCAGAAGGAUCUCAACCUCUUGCAAGUUACUUUUCACUUUUAAGGGCCCUUAAAGAAGCAUUUGCUUAGCUCUGUAUCCAGGCCAUCUCUCCCUCCCCGAAGAGCAACAGACCAGCAACUGACAUUAAGGUCACAUGGGUGGGUGGGGAGUAGAAUUGCGGGGGUGACAGUUCCAGCCAAUCCAGACAACGAAUCAUUGUUUGGAGGAACCAGAGCCUCAAAGGGUGAGUGCACUGACUAGGGCUGGCUCUCCAUCUGUUCACACACUUGUUGAGUGCCUACUCUAUGCCAAAGCACUGUGUUUUGGUGCCCUGGGGAACACAAAAUUGGGAUAGCUCCUGCCCUC
Molecule: long non-coding RNA, 669 nt
Filed under: Homo sapiens (human)
Lineage: Eukaryota; Metazoa; Chordata; Mammalia; Primates; Hominidae
Description: novel transcript, antisense to EEF2K
Source: RNAcentral